CUGGCUCAGGAUGAACGCUAGCUACAGGCUUAACACAUGCAAGUCGAGGGGCAGCAUGAACUUAGCUUGCUAAGUUGAUGGCGACCGGCGCACGGGUGAGUAACGCGUAUCCAACCUGGCCCUUAGUAGGGGAUAGCCCGGCGAAAGUCGGAUUAAUACCCUAUGUUUUCCGAAGCGAGCAUUCAAUUUGGAACAAAGAUUCAUCGCUAAGGGAUGGGGAUGCGUCUGAUUAGGUAGUCGGCGGGGUAACGGCCCACCGAGCCGACGAUCAGUAGGGGUUCUGAGAGGAAGGUCCCCCACAUUGGUACUGAGACACGGACCAAACUCCUACGGGAGGCAGCAGUGAGGAAUAUUGGUCAAUGGGCGAGAGCCUGAACCAGCCAAGUAGCGUGCAGGACGACGGCCCUAUGGGUUGUAAACUGCUUUUGGAGGGGAAUAAAGUGAGGCACGUGUGCCUUUUUGUAUGUACCCUCAGAAUAAGGACCGGCUAAUUCCGUGCCAGCAGCGGC
RNAcentral lists this ribosomal RNA (509 nucleotides) under uncultured bacterium. Its description in RNAcentral is "bacterial SSU rRNA". It matches the Rfam family "Bacterial small subunit ribosomal RNA", at positions 19 to 518 of the family's 1533-position model. The record is from RNAcentral.